ACGGUGAGUAACACGUAUCCAACCUGCCGUCUACUCUUGGCCAGCCUUCUGAAGGAAGAUUAAUCCAGGAUGGCAUCAUGAGUUCACAUGUCCGCAUGAUUAAAGGUAUUUUCCGGUAGACGAUGGGGAUGCGUUCCAUUAGGCAGUUGGUGAGGUAACGGCUCACCAAACCUUCGAUGGAUAGGGGUUCUGAGAGGAAGGUCCCCCACAUUGGAACUGAGACACGGUCCAA
RNAcentral lists this ribosomal RNA (232 nucleotides) under uncultured bacterium. RNAcentral describes it as "partial 16S ribosomal RNA". It matches the Rfam family "Bacterial small subunit ribosomal RNA", at positions 105 to 334 of the family's 1533-position model. The record is from RNAcentral.